AUUGAACGCUGGCGGCAGGCCUAACACAUGCAAGUCGAGCGGAUGAAGGGAGCUUGCUCCUGGAUUCAGCGGCGGACGGGUGAGUAAUGCCUAGGAAUCUGCCUGGUAGUGGGGGAUAACGUCCGGAAACGGGCGCUAAUACCGCAUACGUCCUGAGGGAGAAAGUGGGGGAUCUUCGGACCUCACGCUAUCAGAUGAGCCUAGGUCGGAUUAGCUAGUUGGUGGGGUAAAGGCCUACCAAGGCGACGAUCCGUAACUGGUCUGAGAGGAUGAUCAGUCACACUGGAACUGAGACACGGUCCAGACGCCUACGGGAGGCAGCAGUGGGGAAUAUUGGACAAUGGGCGAAAGCCUGAUCCAGCCAUGCCGCGUGCGUGAAGAAGGUCUUCGGAUUGUAAAGCACUUUAAGUUGGGAGGAAGGGCAGUAAGUUAAUACCUUGCUGUUUUGACGUUACCAACAGAAUAAGCACCGGCUAACUUCGUG
This 484-nucleotide ribosomal RNA is filed under the name uncultured bacterium. RNAcentral describes it as "partial 16S ribosomal RNA". It matches the Rfam family "Bacterial small subunit ribosomal RNA", at positions 30 to 507 of the family's 1533-position model. The record is from RNAcentral.